This 73-nucleotide transfer RNA is filed under the name Firmicutes bacterium CAG:582. It matches the Rfam family "tRNA". Rfam says of the family: Transfer RNA (tRNA) molecules are approximately 80 nucleotides in length. The record is from Rfam by way of RNAcentral. Lineage: Bacteria; Bacillati; Bacillota.
GGGCGAUUAGCUCAGUUGGUUAGAGCACCUGCCUUACAAGCAGGGGGCAUAGGGUCGGGGCCUUUUUUCCCCA